AUGAAAUGUAGGAGUAUAUUUUACUGAACGUGACCAACUUCGAAGCACUCUGCUGUCAAAAGUCACUUCGAAGGGAUAUGGAUAUAAGUAUCCCUCCGAUCUGAGAUCACCACAGUGAUUUGUAAGCAACUCACUGUACUUUGGUGCCGGACUAUCUGAAUUUUUAAUUCAGGAUCGAAAGAUUUUUGGGUAUAGUCAAGUACUUAUGAAGUCAGUGCGUGAGUUAAGAUAGAAUUGACCACUC
RNAcentral lists this long non-coding RNA (244 nucleotides) under Elaeis guineensis (African oil palm). RNAcentral describes it as "long non-coding RNA (EGUI_LNC082061)". The record is from RNAcentral. Lineage: Eukaryota; Viridiplantae; Streptophyta; Magnoliopsida; Arecales; Arecaceae.